RNAcentral lists this ribosomal RNA (250 nucleotides) under uncultured bacterium. Its description in RNAcentral is "partial 16S ribosomal RNA". It matches the Rfam family "Bacterial small subunit ribosomal RNA", at positions 524 to 773 of the family's 1533-position model. The record is from RNAcentral.
UACGGGAGUGGCAAGCGUUAUCCGGAAUUAUUGGGCGUAAAGCGUCCGCAGGCGGUCUUGAAAGUCUGUUGUUAAAGCGUGGAGCUUAACUCCAUUUAAGCAAUGGAAACUACAAGACUAGAGUGUGGUAGGGGCAGAGGGAAUUCCCGGUGUAGCGGUGAAAUGCGUAGAUAUCGGGAAGAACACCAGUGGCGAAGGCGCUCUGCUGGGCCAUAACUGACGCUCAUGGACGAAAGCCAGGGGAGCGAAA